This 253-nucleotide ribosomal RNA is filed under the name uncultured prokaryote. RNAcentral's name for it is "partial 16S ribosomal RNA". It matches the Rfam family "Bacterial small subunit ribosomal RNA", at positions 524 to 776 of the family's 1533-position model. The record is from RNAcentral.
UACGGAGGGUGCAAGCGUUGUCCGGAUUUAUUGGGUUUAAAGGGUGCGUAGGUGGGACAGUAAGUCUGAUUUGAAAGCAGGCGGCUUAACCGUCUGAUGUGGUUGGAAACUGCGGUUCUUGAAUGGGUUGGCGGUAGCCGGAAUGGGUCAUGUAGCGGUGAAAUGCAUAGAUAUGACCCGGAACACCGAUUGCGAAGGCAGGCUACUACGACUUGAUUGACACUGAGGCACGAGAGCAUGGGUAGCGAACAGG